Molecule: ribosomal RNA, 253 nt
Filed under: uncultured prokaryote
Description: partial 16S ribosomal RNA
Rfam family: Bacterial small subunit ribosomal RNA
Source: RNAcentral
UACGUAGGGGGCGAGCGUUGUCCGGAUUCAUUGGGCGUAAAGCGCGCGUAGGCGGCUUCGUAAGUCGGCCGUGAAAUCUCCAGGCUCAACUUGGAGGGGUCGGGCGAGACUGCGGGGCUCGAGGUGGGCAGAGGGCAGUGGAAUUCCGGGUGUAGUGGUGGAAUGCGUAGAGAUCCGGAAGAACACCGGUGGCGAAGGCGGCCUGCUGGGCAGUGGCUGACACUGAGGCGCGACAGCGUGGGGAGCAAACAGG